GGGGCUCCUCCCGUUCCUGGAGCUCCUCCCCUCCUGUUGACCGGUCUGCUCUCAGAAUCCGGUUGUGGGGAGUUCCUUGGCGAGGGGCGGGUUGCUAGCUGGGUUGGCAGAUUUGCUUGGAGUUCGAGAGCCUCAGCACUGCAUGUGCCUAGCUUCUCUUGCGUCUGCGAGGUGUUUGGUUUGGUGGAGUUGGUGCAUGAAAUCCCUACGACGCAACCUGUCGAUGGUGUUUGGGGUGGAGUCGGAGCUGCUUGGCCGGGUGUGGCAAGCUGGGCAACGAUAACCCCCUUGCCCCUUCUUUUUGGUAGCUUCGUUGGGGUGGCUGUGCUGUUGGCUUCCUGGCGUGUGUGUUGGGGGGAGUCGGAGCUGCUUGUAGGUGACAAGCUCGGCAACGGUAACCCUCUCCCGCUUUCCUUGGUAGCGUUGUGGAAGCCAGGGGUGUCGUAGUUGGCAGGGA
Molecule: long non-coding RNA, 457 nt
Filed under: Oryza sativa tropical japonica subgroup
Lineage: Eukaryota; Viridiplantae; Streptophyta; Magnoliopsida; Poales; Poaceae
Description: lncRNA OsCMeo_07g0011080
Source: RNAcentral